This 1343-nucleotide ribosomal RNA is filed under the name uncultured bacterium. Its description in RNAcentral is "16S ribosomal RNA". It matches the Rfam family "Bacterial small subunit ribosomal RNA", at positions 28 to 1378 of the family's 1533-position model. The record is from RNAcentral.
GACGAACGCUGGCGGCGUGCUUAACACAUGCAAGUCGAACGGAAAGGCCCUGCUUUUGUGGGGUGCUCGAGUGGCGAACGGGUGAGUAACACGUGAGUAACCUGCCCUUGACUUUGGGAUAACUUCAGGAAACUGGGGCUAAUACCGGAUAGGAGCUCCUGCUGCAUGGUGGGGGUUGGAAAGUUUUGGCGGUUGGGGAUGGACUCGCGGCUUAUCAGCUUGUUGGUGGGGUAGUGGCUUACCAAGGCUUUGACGGGUAGCCGGCCUGAGAGGGUGACCGGCCACAUUGGGACUGAGAUACGGCCCAGACUCCUACGGGAGGCAGCAGUGGGGAAUAUUGCACAAUGGGCGGAAGCCUGAUGCAGCAACGCCGCGUGCGGGAUGACGGCCUUCGGGUUGUAAACCGCUUUCGCCUGUGACGAAGCGUGAGUGACGGUAAUGGGUAAAGAAGCACCGGCUAACUACGUGCCAGCAGCCGCGGUGAUACGUAGGGUGCGAGCGUUGUCCGGAUUUAUUGGGCGUAAAGGGCUCGUAGGUGGUUGAUCGCGUCGAAAGUGUAAUCUUGGGGCUUAACCCUGAGCGUGCUUUCGAUACGGGUUGACUUGAGGAAGGUAGGGGAGAAUGGAAUUCCUGGUGGAGCGGUGGAAUGCGCAGAUAUCAGGAGGAACACCAGUGGCGAAGGCGGUUCUCUGGGCCUUUCCUGACGCUGAGGAGCGAAAGCGUGGGGAGCGAACAGGCUUAGAUACCCUGGUAGUCCACGCUGUAAACUGUGGGUACUAGGUGUGGGGUCCAUUCCACGGGUUCCGUGCCGUAGCUAACGCUUUAAGUACCCCGCCUGGGGAGUACGGCCGCAAGGCUAAAACUCAAAGGAAUUGACGGGGCCCCGCACAAGCGGCGGAGCAUGCGGAUUAAUUCGAUGCAACGCGUAGAACCUUACCUGGGUUUGACAUGGAUCGGGAGUGCUCAGAGAUGGGUGUGCCUCUUUUGGGGUCGGUUCACAGGUGGUGCAUGGCUGUCGUCAGCUCGUGUCGUGAGAUGUUGGGUUAAGUCCCGCAACGAGCGCAACCCUUGUUCACUGUUGCCAGCACGUUAUGGUGGGGACUCAGUGGAGACCGCCGGGGUCAACUCGGAGGAGGGUGGGGAUGACGUCAAGUCAUCAUGCCCCUUAUGUCCAGGGCUUCACGCAUGCUACAAUGGCUGGUACAGAGAGUGGCGAGCCUGUGAGGGUGAGCGAAUCUCGGAAAGCCGGUCUCAGUUCGGAUUGGGGUCUGCAACUCGACCUCAUGAAGUCGGAGUCGCUAGUAAUCGCAGAUCAGCAACGCUGCGGUGAAAACGUUCCCGGG